This is a non-coding RNA of Salmo salar (Atlantic salmon), 53 nucleotides long. Lineage: Eukaryota; Metazoa; Chordata; Actinopteri; Salmoniformes; Salmonidae. The record is from Rfam.
UGCAUGCAUGUCUGUAAGUCGCUUUGGAUAAAGUGUCUGCUAAAUUGCAUGUA